GGGGUACGUUGCUCCGGAUUAUUGGGCGUAAGGGCUCGCAGGCGGUUUCUUAAGUCUGAUGUGAAAGCCCCCGGCUCAACCGGGGAGGGUCAUUGGAAACUGGGAAACUUGAGUGCAGAAGAGGAGAGUGGAAUUCCACGUGUAGCGGUGAAAUGCGUAGAGAUGUGGAGGAACACCAGUGGCGAAGGCGACUCUCUGGUCUGUAACUGACGCUGAGGAGCGAAAGCGUGGGGAGCGAACAGGAUUAGAUACCCUGGUAGUCCACGCCGUAAACGAUGAGUGCUAAGUGUUAGGGGGUUUCCGCCCCUUAGUGCUGCAGCUAACGCAUUAAGCACUCCGCCUGGGGAGUACGGUCGCAAGACUGAAACUCAAAGGAAUUGACGGGGGCCCGCACAAGCGGUGGAGCAUGUGGUUUAAUUCGAAGCAACGCGAAGAACCUUACCAGGUCUUGACAUCCUCUGACAACCCUAGAGAUAGGGCUUUCCCUUCGGGGACAGAGUGACAGGUGGUGCAUGGUUGUCGUCAGCUCGUGUCGUGAGAUGUUGGGUUAAGUCCCGCAACGAGCGCAACCCUUGAUCUUAGUUGCCAGCAUUCAGUUGGGCACUCUAAGGUGACUGCCGGUGACAAACCGGAGGAAGGUGGGGAUGACGUCAAAUCAUCAUGCCCCUUAUGACCUGGGCUACACACGUGCUACAAUGGACAGAACAAAGGGCUGCAAGACCGCAAGGUUUAGCCAAUCCCAUAAAUCUGUUCUCAGUUCGGAUCGCAGUCUGCAACUCGACUGCGUGAAGCUGGAAUCGCUAGUAAUCGCGGAUCACCUUGCCGCGGGGGGAAAACCGUUCCCGGGGCCUUGUACACACCGCCCGUCACACCACCGAGAGUUUGCAACACCCGAAGUCCGGUGAGGUAACCUUUAUGGAGCCAGCCGCCGAAGGUGGGGCAGAUGAUUGGGGUGAUCAGAACAAACCCCCCCCCCACAAAAAAAAAAACG
RNAcentral lists this ribosomal RNA (991 nucleotides) under Bacillus pumilus. RNAcentral describes it as "bacterial SSU rRNA". It matches the Rfam family "Bacterial small subunit ribosomal RNA", at positions 533 to 1533 of the family's 1533-position model. The record is from RNAcentral. Lineage: Bacteria; Bacillati; Bacillota; Bacilli; Caryophanales; Bacillaceae.